GGUGUUGGAGAGUGAAACUUUUAGAGGGAGUGAAUCAGCUUCUAGAUCUCCCCACCUUGUUUCAUCUCAUGGUCUUCGAGGAAGUGCAUCAUCUGGUGCCAGAGACAUGCAUAACUCAUCUGAAUCUCUUAGUGUGAGGGCUGUUGCUAGUCCUGGUAGCCGAACCAGAUCAGGAUCUUGAUAAACUCCAAGCAAAGCUAUUUUUCCUUUUUGUAAGUGCUUCCUUCUUAUUUACGUAUGAUCUACUUGUAUAUUGAUAUUGGUUCAAGAUCACACCAAAUUUCAUGAACUAUUACAUCGUGCUUUUUGAUAAACUUAAGAUCAUCGAUGCUUGCUCUCUUUGCAUGGGCCUUCUCUAGGUAUAAUUGUCUCAAGAGUCUGCCAUAGAAGCCAUUGCAACUUGUUUGGUUCUUAGUACCCCAGAUGGGCAGAGUUCCAGAUGCAGCACCAGAUGAGUCUCUUGUUUGCCUUUAUGCCCUCAUCUGAGGACAAUUCUUGGGGACAGGCAGAGAUUUGCAAUGGGCUCAAGUAUGUAGGAUGUGUAUAUAUCUCCCUCUCGGCUUCAUAUAAU
Molecule: long non-coding RNA, 571 nt
Filed under: Ricinus communis (castor bean)
Lineage: Eukaryota; Viridiplantae; Streptophyta; Magnoliopsida; Malpighiales; Euphorbiaceae
Description: long non-coding RNA (RCOM_LNC000882)
Source: RNAcentral